CACGUAGGGCGCGAGCGUUGUCCGGAAUUAUUGGGCGUAAAGAGCUCGUAGGCGGCCUGCUGCGUCCGCUGUGAAAGCCCGGGGCUUAACCCCGGGUCUGCAGUGGAUACGGGCAGGCUAGAGGUAGGUAGGGGAGAAUGGAAUUCCCGGUGUAGCGGUGAAAUGCGCAGAUAUCGGGAGGAACACCGGUGGCGAAGGCGGGUCUCUGGGCCGGUUCUGACACUGAGGAGCGAAAGCGUGGGGAGCGAUCCGG
Molecule: ribosomal RNA, 253 nt
Filed under: uncultured bacterium
Lineage: Bacteria
Description: partial 16S ribosomal RNA
Rfam family: Bacterial small subunit ribosomal RNA
Source: RNAcentral